Molecule: ribosomal RNA, 356 nt
Filed under: Liphistius laoticus
Lineage: Eukaryota; Metazoa; Arthropoda; Arachnida; Araneae; Liphistiidae
Description: eukaryotic LSU rRNA
Rfam family: 5.8S ribosomal RNA (bases 2-122)
Source: RNAcentral
ACGAUGAAGAACGCAGCCAGCUGCGAGACUUGGUGUGAAUUGCAGGACACAUUGAGCACUGAUUUUUCGAACGCACAUUGCGGCCUCGGGUCCUACCCGGGGCCUCGCCUGUCUGAGGGUCGGAUGAUACUAUCAGAAGGGACAUUUGUCCCUACGUGGUCGCUUCGGAGUCUCGUGCUCCGUCGACUCAAGUAUCAGACUUCCCCGAGGCGCGGUCUGCGGCCGUGGGAAUAGCUGAGAUUCUUACGCUGCCAGCCGUGGACCGUCCUCGGACGGAAAGGUAAUGACAUAUAAAUGUCGACCUCAGAUCAGACGAGACGACCCGCUGAAUUUAAGCAUAUCAAUAAGCGGAGGAA